AGCAGCCGCGGUAAUUCCAGCUCCAAUAGCGUAUAUUAAAGUUGUUGCAGUUAAAAAGCUCGUAGUUGAAUUUCGGGGUUAGUAGGUUGGUCAUGCCUCUGGUAUGUACUGAUCUCACUGAUUCCUCCUUCCUUAUGAACCGUAAUGCCAUUAAUUUGGUGUUGCGGGGAAUUUGGACUGUUACUUUGAAAAAAUUAGAGUGUUUAAAGCAAGCUAACGCUUGAAUACAUUAGCAUGGAAUAAUGAAAUAGGACGUUCGAUCUUAUUUUGUUGGUUUCUAGGAUUGACGUAAUGAUUAAUAGGGAUAGUUGGGGGCAUUAGUAUUCAAUUGUCAGAGGUGAAAUUCUUGGAUUUAUUGAAGACUAACUACUGCGAAAGCAUUUGCCAAGGAUGUUUUCAUUAAUCAAGAACGAAAGUUAGGGGAUCGAAGACGAUCAGAUACCGUCGUAG
This 450-nucleotide ribosomal RNA is filed under the name uncultured Glomeromycotina. RNAcentral describes it as "SSU rRNA". It matches the Rfam family "Eukaryotic small subunit ribosomal RNA", at positions 569 to 1023 of the family's 1831-position model. The record is from RNAcentral. Lineage: Eukaryota; Fungi; Glomeromycota.